Long non-coding RNA from Leptinotarsa decemlineata (Colorado potato beetle), 625 nucleotides. Lineage: Eukaryota; Metazoa; Arthropoda; Insecta; Coleoptera; Chrysomelidae. The record is from RefSeq and is a predicted model, not a curated record.
CACGAUAAUUUAGCUGAUCACCUCAGGUUUUCAAAAAUCGUGAAAAGAAUUUCUUUGAUGAUAUAAAAAUGAAUGUUGAAAUAACCACUUAGUAGAUCGAAAUUAUUAUUUCAGAUUCAGCAACAAGCUGUUGGCAAAUCUCAUUCAUCUGUUCAUUUAUUGUAUUCAAUUUUUCACACCGUUAUCUUACAGCCAAACUGAUAUGAUAAAUUACUCCACUCAAUACAUGGAUAAGAUAAUCGUUUAGUGAAUUUCGAUUGUAGACAUGAGUAACAUCUGAUUAAUGAAAUUCAAGUAAAAUAUAUUGUGCAAGGCACAUGAAUACAUUUUGGAUAAACAUUCACUAUGGAGGGAUGCGAAGAUGUAGUUACAUCAAGAAUAAGUUUGAGAGACCUUUCCGGAUUGAGUGAGAGCUGCUUUGACGAAGAAGUUACUUCAGUCUCGUCCACGUAUCAUGAUGAAAGAAAGUGGAGACUGUCCUAUUUGAAAAGUCAAUUUGAAUCUUUCAAACUAGAUACAUUGUACAAGACGUAUACAGAAAAAAUAAAUCAUGGAUACUUCUCAUUAUUUCUAAUACUCCAAUGCAUCCUAAGUUUGAUGCAUUUAGUGAUAAUUAUCGUCAGUA